CUCUUAUCAAGAGUGGUGGAGGGACUGGCCCGAAGAAACCCGGCAACCCCGCGAGAAGCGGAGAGGUGCUAAAUCCAGCAGGCACACAUAAAGUAGUCUGGCAGAUAAGAG
RNAcentral lists this non-coding RNA (111 nucleotides) under Brevibacillus laterosporus. RNAcentral describes it as "SAM-I sequence". It matches the Rfam family "SAM riboswitch aptamer (S box leader)". From Rfam's summary of the family: The SAM riboswitch is found upstream of a number of genes which code for proteins involved in methionine or cysteine biosynthesis in Gram-positive bacteria. The SAM riboswitch acts at the level of transcription termination control. RNAcentral also lists the same sequence under 1 other name. Lineage: Bacteria; Bacillati; Bacillota; Bacilli; Caryophanales; Paenibacillaceae. The record is from RNAcentral.